RNAcentral lists this ribosomal RNA (543 nucleotides) under Niallia nealsonii. RNAcentral's name for it is "bacterial SSU rRNA". It matches the Rfam family "Bacterial small subunit ribosomal RNA", at positions 382 to 916 of the family's 1533-position model. Lineage: Bacteria; Bacillati; Bacillota; Bacilli; Caryophanales; Bacillaceae. The record is from RNAcentral.
UCUGACGGAGCAACGCCGCGUGAGUGAUGAAGGUUUUCGGAUCGUAAAACUCUGUUGUUAGGGAAGAACAAGUACGAGAGUAACUGCUCGUACCUUGACGGUACCUAACCAGAAAGCCACGGCUAACUACGUGCCAGCAGCCGCGGUAAUACGUAGGUGGCAAGCGUUGUCCGGAAUUAUUGGGCGUAAAGCGCGCGCAGGCGGUCCUUUAAGUCUGAUGUGAAAGCCCACGGCUCAACCGUGGAGGGUCAUUGGAAACUGGGGGACUUGAGUGCAGAAGAGAAGAGUGGAAUUCCACGUGUAGCGGUGAAAUGCGUAGAGAUGUGGAGGAACACCAGUGGCGAAGGCGACUCUUUGGUCUGUAACUGACGCUGAGGCGCGAAAGCGUGGGGAGCAAACAGGAUUAGAUACCCUGGUAGUCCACGCCGUAAACGAUGAGUGCUAAGUGUUAGAGGGUUUCCGCCCUUUAGUGCUGCAGCAAACGCAUUAAGCACUCCGCCUGGGGAGUACGGCCGCAAGGCUGAAACUCAAAGGAAUUGACGG